Molecule: ribosomal RNA, 495 nt
Filed under: uncultured bacterium
Lineage: Bacteria
Description: partial 16S ribosomal RNA
Rfam family: Bacterial small subunit ribosomal RNA
Source: RNAcentral
GACGAACGCUGGCGGCGUGCCUAAUACAUGCAAGUAGAACGCUGAAGGAGGAGCUCGCUUCUCUGGAUGAGUUGCGAACGGGUGAGUAACGCGUAGGUAACCUGCCUGGUAGCGGGGGAUAACUAUUGGAAACGAUAGCUAAUACCGCAUAAUAGUAGAUGUUGCAUGACAUUUGCUUAAAAGGUGCAAUUGCAUCACUACCAGAUGGACCUGCGUUGUAUUAGCUAGUUGGUGGGGUAACGGCUCACCAAGGCGACGAUACAUAGCCGACCUGAGAGGGUGAUCGGCCACACUGGGACUGAGACACGGCCCAGACUCCUACGGGAGGCAGCAGUAGGGAAUCUUCGGCAAUGGACGGAAGUCUGACCGAGCAACGCCGCGUGAGUGAAGAAGGGUUUCGGAUCGUAAAGCUCUGUUGUAAGAGAAGAACGAGUGUGAGAGUGGAAAGUUCACACUGUGACGGUAGCUUACCAGAAAGGGACGGCUAACUACGUG